CUACGCACUCCUACGGGAGGCAGCAGUGGGGAAUAUUGCACAAUGGGCGCAAGCCUGAUGCAGCCAUGCCGCGUGUAUGAAGAAGGCCUUCGGGUUGUAAAGUACUUUCAGCAGUGAGGAAGGUGGGUAUGUUAAUAGCAUAUUCAUUUGACGUUAGCUGCAGAAGAAGCACCGGCUAACCCCGUGCCAGCAGCCGCGGUAAUACGGAGGGUGCGAGCGUUAAUCGGAAUUACUGGGCGUAAAGCGCAUGCAGGUGGUUUGUUAAGUCAGAUGUGAAAGCCCGGGGCUCAACCUCGGAAUUGCAUUUGAAACUGGCAAACUAGAGUACUGUAGAGGGGGUAGAAUUUCAGGUGUAGCGGUGAAAUGCGUAGAGAUCUGAAGGAAUACCGGUGGCGAAGGCGGCCCCCUGGACAGAUACUGACACUCAGAUGCGAAAGCGUGGGGAGCAAACAGGAUUAGAUACCCUGGUAG
Molecule: ribosomal RNA, 471 nt
Filed under: uncultured bacterium
Lineage: Bacteria
Description: bacterial SSU rRNA
Rfam family: Bacterial small subunit ribosomal RNA
Source: RNAcentral